UGCAAGUCGAGCGGUAACAUUUCUAGCUUGCUAGAAGAUGACGAGCGGCGGACGGGUGAGUAAUGCUUGGGAACAUGCCUUGAGGUGGGGGACAACCAUUGGAAACGAUGGCUAAUACCGCAUAAUGUCUACGGACCAAAGGGGGCUUCGGCUCUCGCCUUUAGAUUGGCCCAAGUGGGAUUAGCUAGUUGGUGAGGUAAAGGCUCACCAAGGCGACGAUCCCUAGCUGGUUUGAGAGGAUGAUCAGCCACACUGGAACUGAGACACGGUCCAGACUCCUACGGGAGGCAGCAGUGGGGAAUAUUGCACAAUGGGCGCAAGCCUGAUGCAGCCAUGCCGCGUGUGUGAAGAAGGCCUUCGGGUUGUAAAGCACUUUCAGUCAGGAGGAAAGGUUAGUAGUUAAUACCUGCUAGCUGUGACGUUACUGACAGAAGAAGCACCGGCUAACUCCGUGCCAGCAGCCGCGGUAAUACGGAGGGUGCGAGCGUUAAUCGGAAUUACUGGGCGUAAAGCGUACGCAGGCGGUUUGUUAAGCGAGAUGUGAAAGCCCCGGGCUUAACCUGGGAACUGCAUUUCGAACUGGCAAACUAGAGUGUGAUAGAGGGUGGUAGAAUUUCAGGUGUAGCGGUGAAAUGCGUAGAGAUCUGAAGGAAUACCGAUGGCGAAGGCAGCCACCUGGGUCAACACUGACGCUCAUGUACGAAAGCGUG
RNAcentral lists this ribosomal RNA (710 nucleotides) under Pseudoalteromonas sp. RNAcentral's name for it is "bacterial SSU rRNA". It matches the Rfam family "Bacterial small subunit ribosomal RNA", at positions 56 to 763 of the family's 1533-position model. The record is from RNAcentral. Lineage: Bacteria; Pseudomonadati; Pseudomonadota; Gammaproteobacteria; Alteromonadales; Pseudoalteromonadaceae.